Molecule: long non-coding RNA, 664 nt
Organism: Drosophila teissieri
Lineage: Eukaryota; Metazoa; Arthropoda; Insecta; Diptera; Drosophilidae
Exons: 3
Source: RefSeq, a predicted model, not a curated record
UAUAUUGGAAAGGCAAAUAAUGAACUUAAAAUAAUUUUCAAAAGUAUGUGUGCAUAUCUAACCCGUUUCGAGGACAAUCAAGCCUUAAUACCCCCGCUGAUACGAAAUCCGUCCGAUCACUAUGGCACAAGGUAGACGACGCCUAGUUGGCAAACAGAUAAAGUGCUUUUUUAGGAGGUUAUCUUCGCUGGCCAACUUUCCGGGACCUUUGCACGGCGCUAUACAUAGACAACCCGAGCUUUACGCCUAAGAAAAAUUUGUUUCAUUUAAAUGUCAAAACUAAAGGAAAGGCUCAUGCCUUAGUUUCUAAUAAUUUUUUGACCAUGAUUCUGAUAACCUAGGGGCAGUCGGGUUUUUGGAUUUUUAGUUUAAAGAAAAUAACCGUCAAAAUAAUGGUAAGCGAUAGGUAUGCCCUUAUCCCCAUCAAAAAGCCCGACUUCGCGCGUCAAGUUCCAGGGACAUCAUAUUCGGGCCUCGUUGGAAAGGUCCCUUCAAAUUAAGAUUUCUGGGUUCCAUACUGCAUCAUAGAUGGCAGCUCAUUUCUAUGAACUUCAAACGCCAUCAACUCACCACAGAGCCCGAGGCAAACUAAUGAGGAUUCAUCAAGCACAGCUUUCAAGCAGGGCAUUUUCUGCCCUGCCCUGCUGCCCAUAUGAAAUGCAUG